Molecule: transfer RNA, 54 nt
Filed under: Pristionchus pacificus
Lineage: Eukaryota; Metazoa; Nematoda; Chromadorea; Rhabditida; Neodiplogasteridae
Rfam family: tRNA
About the family: Transfer RNA (tRNA) molecules are approximately 80 nucleotides in length. Their secondary structure includes four short double-helical elements and three loops (D, anti-codon, and T loops). Further hydrogen bonds mediate the characteristic L-shaped molecular structure. tRNAs have two regions of fundamental functional importance: the anti-codon, which is responsible for specific mRNA codon recognition, and the 3' end, to which the tRNAs corresponding amino acid is attached (by aminoacyl-tRNA synthetases). tRNAs cope with the degeneracy of the genetic code in two manners: having more than one tRNA (with a specific anti-codon) for a particular amino acid; and 'wobble' base-pairing, i.e. permitting non-standard base-pairing at the 3rd anti-codon position.
Source: Rfam by way of RNAcentral
GGGGGUAUAGCUCAGUGGUUAGAGCACCCGGGGGUUCGACUCCCGCUGCCUCCA